Molecule: ribosomal RNA, 497 nt
Filed under: uncultured bacterium
Lineage: Bacteria
Description: partial 16S ribosomal RNA
Rfam family: Bacterial small subunit ribosomal RNA
Source: RNAcentral
GAUGAACGCUGGCGGCGUGCCUAAUACAUGCCAGUCGAGCGAACGGACGAGAAGCUUGCUUCUCUGAUGUUAGCGGCGGUCGGGUGAGUAACACGUGGAUAACCUACCUAUAAGACUGGGAUAACUUCGGGAAACCGGAGCUAAUACCGGAUAAUAUUUUGAACCGCAUGGUUCAAAAGUGAAAGACGGUCUUGCUGUCACUUAUAGAUGGAUCCGCGCUGCAUUAGCUAGUUGGUAAGGUAACGGCUUACCAAGGCAACGAUGCAUAGCCGACCUGAGAGGGUGAUCGGCCACACUGGAACUGAGACACGGUCCAGACUCCUACGGGAGGCAGCAGUAGGGAAUCUUCCGCAAUGGGCGAAAGCCUGACGGAGCAACGCCGCGUGAGUGAUGAAGGUCUUCGGAUCGUAAAACUCUGUUAUUAGGGAAGAACAUAUGUGUAAGUAACUGUGCACAUCUUGACGGUACCUAAUCAGAAAGCCACGGCUAACUACGUG